This 899-nucleotide long non-coding RNA is filed under the name Nicotiana benthamiana. RNAcentral's name for it is "long non-coding RNA (NBEN_LNC014456)". The record is from RNAcentral. Lineage: Eukaryota; Viridiplantae; Streptophyta; Magnoliopsida; Solanales; Solanaceae.
AGACAUGUGAGGUACUCUGGGAGCCUGACUGUCAGAGUAGAAGAGCCCCAAAUCCAUAGAGCCCUUAAGAUACCUAAGAACAUGUAGGGAAGCAGACAUUUGAGGUACUCUGAAAGCCUUCAAAAACUGACUCAAAUGUCGAACAGCAAAACAAAUGUCAGGUCUGGUAUGUGUCAAGAAGAGGAGCUUGCCAACCAAGCUCCUGUAAUGUUCUGGAGAAGAGAAAAGAUCACCAGAAUCAGCAUGCAAUUUGGUAUUAAGGUCCAAAGGACAGACCACAGGGGAGACAUCUACAUAGUCAAACUGAUGCAGUAAAUCAGAGACAAACUUGUGCUGAUUAAGGAGCACACCACCAGCAACAGUGGACACCUCAAUGCCCAGAAAAUAGUGCAAAAACCCAAGGUCUUUGAUUCUGAAUUGGUCAUCCAGGAAGAGCUUGAGGAAAGAAAGUUCAGCAACAUCAUCUCCAGUGAUAAUAAUGUCAUCCACAUACAUAGCCAGAACCACAAGAUACCCAUGCUGGCCCUUGACAAAUAUAGAGUAGUCAUUCAUAGAAUGGACAUAGCCUCUGGACUAUAGAGCAUGAGACAAUAUGACAUACCACUGCCUGGAAGCCUGUCUCAAUCCAUAAAGGGAUUUCUGUAACUUGCACACAAGGGAUGCAGAAACAGAGGGAUCAGAAGAGGCAGAAACACACAAACCUGGAGGAAGCUUCAUAUAGACCUCCUCAUCAAGGUCACCAUGCAAGAAGGCAUUAUUAACAUCAAGUUGAAAGAGACUCCAAUGUUUCUUAACAGCCACAGCAAUCAAGCAUUUAACAGUAGACAUCUUGACCACAGGGGAAAAUGUUUCUGUGAAAUCAACACCUUCAAUUUGAGUGUCGCCCCUAAUGACAAGCC